GAGGAAGAUGAAGAAGAAGAAGAAAGAGGAAGCAGAGGAGGGUGAAACCGCCGACCCGAGCCUCCAGUAUCGGGAGGAUCCCAACAUGGCGACAGGGUGGGAACCUGGUGUCGACGCUGGUUCGUCCAGGUGAGGGAUCUACUCACCAGGUGAAACCAGCGUGUGUUCGCUCCGCUCACUGGUUCCCAGCAGCCGGUGGACGUGGAGCCGAGAGUUCGAGUCACAGACACUUUGUCACCGACAAGUUUUCACCUCGUCAGUUCCUGGUCCGGACACUUCCUGGUUCUCUCAGCUCACUUCCUGACUUCAGUUCUCUGACCAAACGGUUCCACCUCCAGUGUUUGUCAGUAAUCAUCAUGCACUGGUUCACCUGCUCCACCAGCAGCCGGACUGGGACUGGGAUUGUGGUGUGACUGGUUCAACCGGUUCCCGUUAAGACCCUCGGGCCUCUCUGACAUGAGGAAGCAGUAAAGCUCAUCAAAACAAAAGCUGUUGACUCUUUACAAUUUGUUGUUGUCAGAACGAAACUCAGGUUCAAUCCACUCAAGCUCCAUCGUGUCAUCUGACGGAUUACACUCACAUUUAAUCAUAUUCUUCUGUAAUAGAGACAAAUAGGUGCUUCUAAUAUUGGUUUUCAGCAGUAUUGUUAAAUCUGAAGUUUUAGUUUUGACUAAAAUACCAAAUAUCACUUCACAGGUGAGAAUUAAUUAAUGUUCUUAGUUAAUUUAGGUCAGAUUAACUUAAAUCCUCUUAACCUGCAGCGUCGGCUUCACAACAAAGACACAGAACAAGAACACACAACUAAAUAAUAUUGAGUCUAAACAAUCAGAUCCAUAUUUAAAAUGACAAAAACACUUUGUUAACAUCAGGAAAAAAGUCAAAGUCACUCUUUAAACUUAGUUUCAUCAUUUUUUUUACAGUGUAUAUGAUUAUAUAUAUAUAUAUAUAUAUAUAUAUAUACAUAUUAGCAUCUUCUAUCCUCCUGUACAGUGAAUGAUUGUAUCCUUACAGCGCCCCCUAGUGUCUUAACUAAAAAUGACAUUUGAUGUGAAUGUGAUUGUUUCUUAUUGUGUAUCUUUUCUCAGUAGAACACACUUAUUAAAGCUGACGUUGAUUAUUGGGGGAUGUAUUAAUUAAUUGUCUUUGUCAGUUUGUGGCUGUGGCUCAGGGGGUGGAGCGGAUUGCCAAACAACCAGAAAGUUGCCAAUGGCAUUUUCUUAUAUAUUCUUUGGCAAUUCAAAAAUCAUUUUGUACGUACAGAACAUGGUUUUUAAUAUAUUGUGAUGAUGUUUUGUUUAAUUGUAGAUGAUAAGAAAUAACUGCAAAUGUCAAGAGAGAAAACAGGAGUCAAUGCAAGGACAUUAAAUAUUAAUUUAUUUCACAACAUAUUGCUUUGAUACAGUUAAAGGCCUUUGAAUCACAUCAAACUUCACAUGUUUUAAACUUUCUAAGGCACGUCGGCAAAAUUCAUGAAAAGUUUGGAAAAAAAAUUCUGUUUGAAAAAUAUUUUGAUUGUAUUAUUUAUUUGUUUAUGAAGCAUCUAUGAAUUUACAUCCUAAUAACAUGAAAUAACACAAAAAAAUACAUGUGAUGAAGAUUAAAAUUAUUCUUAUUGAUGAUUGGAGAUCUUGAGAAAUGAACUGGUUCUUUUUAUUUAAACACCUGAAUGGCCUCAGCUCUCACAUCGCUAUAUAAAUAUAUGAUUAUGAAAUAAAAUAGAUUAUAUAAUGAGAAGAUUAAGUUUCUUUCCUCAGAGAUCCAGCCACUGAGGAAUUUGAAUAAGAACAUUUACAUCAAACUUCAAAGAGUAGAGGAGGAACUGAAACUCAUCUUACGUUCGUUAAAUUAGCAGCAAAGUAGAAAAAGAGAAGAAGAAGCAGCUCGAUAGUGUUU
This is a long non-coding RNA of Pleuronectes platessa (European plaice), 1893 nucleotides long. RefSeq lists it as uncharacterized. Lineage: Eukaryota; Metazoa; Chordata; Actinopteri; Pleuronectiformes; Pleuronectidae. The record is from RefSeq and is a predicted model, not a curated record. The transcript has 2 exons.